CUUGAGCACGGACUGCUCCUUCUCCUCCUCCUUCUUCUGCCGGUCCAUGACGGCCAGGAUGAUCUUCCGCUCCUCCUCCGUGAGGUGGCUCAGACGCGCACAAAAAUGGACGCGAUAAAAAUCACGCGAGGAGGGACGAGGAGGAGCCAAGCGCCGCGAGCGCGCCGCGGGGACCCAGCCGGGGCUUCCCCCGCUGCCAACAGGUGCGCGGGCCCGCCCGCCCGCCCGCCCGCGGCUGCAACAGGUGCCGCCCGAGGGCGACGGGACGGGACGGACGGGACGGGACUGCCCUGUACUCCUCCUCGCUUCGACUGUCCCGCCUCCCAGCAGCUCCCGCCCGGAGCAACAGGCAGGGGCCGCCGGGCCCGGCCCGGGGGGGGGCUCGGGAGACCUGCGGGCGCGGAAACCAGUCAUGAGGGAGGGGGAGGGGGGCUCACGCGCGAGCCCUUGUCCCCCCAAGAGGGCGAGGUCGCUCGGGAGUCUUUGUGGCCUCCUCUGCUCCCCCUCAGUCCCACGUGAAGAAGGAAGAUGGCCAAGGUAGCCCCUAGCCGCAGCCUGUGGCAACCAGGAAAGGGCCAGCUUUAGUCUGUGUCUCGGUUUUCAUUACGUCUAAUAAAAAACCCAUGUUCUUUCA
Long non-coding RNA from Alligator mississippiensis (American alligator), 634 nucleotides. RefSeq lists it as uncharacterized. The record is from RefSeq and is a predicted model, not a curated record. The transcript has 2 exons. NCBI's taxonomy places the organism in Eukaryota, Metazoa, Chordata, Crocodylia, Alligatoridae.